RNAcentral lists this ribosomal RNA (484 nucleotides) under uncultured bacterium. RNAcentral describes it as "partial 16S ribosomal RNA". It matches the Rfam family "Bacterial small subunit ribosomal RNA", at positions 28 to 507 of the family's 1533-position model. The record is from RNAcentral.
AUUGAACGCUGGCGGCAUGCUUUACACAUGCAAGUCGAACGGCAGCGCGGGCUUCGGCCUGGCGGCGAGUGGCGAACGGGUGAGUAAUACAUCGGAAUGUGCCCAGACGUGGGGGAUAGCCCGGCGAAAGCCGGAUUAAUACCGCAUACGACCUGUGGGUGAAAGCGGGGGAUCUUCGGACCUCGCGCUAUUGGAGCGGCCGAUGGCAGAUUAGCUAGUUGGUGGGGUAAAGGCCUACCAAGGCGACGAUCCGUAGCUGGUCUGAGAGGACGACCAGCCACACUGUGACUGAGACACGGCCCAGACUCCUGCAGGAGGCAGCAGUGGGGAAUUUUGGGCGAUGGGCGAAAGCCUGAUCCAGCAAUGCCGGGUGUGUGAUGAAGGCCUUCUGGUUGUAGAGCACUUUUGGCGUGAGCGAAAAGGACUGUGCCAAUACCGCAGUUCGAUGACGGUACCCGCAGAAUAAGCACCGGCUAACUACGUG